AGUCAUAAUACUGGUACUUUGUCUUGAGAAGCAAAAUUUUACUCGGAGGUUGCUUUCCAUCUGCCUUGGGAGUGUGUUUUGCUGGAGACUGAAACCCUGUGAAGCAGUCCCCGUGGUAGAGGGAAGAUGUGUUGGAGUAUGCCCCAGGGAAAGGAGAGCAAUGGUAAACACGUCCCAGUGGCUCUAGAAAGAAGGCAGGCACCCUUGGAUCCAAGCAGAACAGGUGUUGAACCUUGGCACGAUACGCCAACAGAGGCAGCUCAUGAGACCUGGCGAAUGCUGCACUGCUACCUAACGUAGUGAAAACAAGAGCAAUUGGACAUCUAAUCUGCUUAGGUGCUUUUGAAAAUCCCACUACGUGCCAAAGAUACGCUUGGAAAUCUGGGCCCAAAUCCAUUAGCUGGGAGUCAGGCCAGAGCCCUCUUGCGAGAGCUAUUCAGUACCACACUUCAUGUCGAAUACACAAGAGGUGUUGGACCAAAGACACAUUACUGUCAUUAUUACAAAUAACACCAGGCCCACAAGAUGCCCUUCUCCCCUUUGGUGAGACCUGGCCCAUCUUGAUUUUCUUUCUGUUCAGAAAGACCUUCU
Alligator sinensis (Chinese alligator) is the source of this 591-nucleotide long non-coding RNA. RefSeq lists it as uncharacterized. The record is from RefSeq and is a predicted model, not a curated record. The transcript has 4 exons. NCBI's taxonomy places the organism in Eukaryota, Metazoa, Chordata, Crocodylia, Alligatoridae.